Molecule: ribosomal RNA, 251 nt
Filed under: uncultured prokaryote
Description: partial 16S rRNA
Rfam family: Bacterial small subunit ribosomal RNA
Source: RNAcentral
ACGGAGGGUGCAAGCGUUGUUCGGAAUCACUGGGCGUAAAGGGCGCGCAGGCGGUUUGGUAAGUCAGAUGUGAAAGCCCACGGCUUAACCGUGGAAGUGCAUUUGAAACUGCCAGACUUGAGUAUCAGAGGAGAAAGUGGAAUUCCCGGUGUAGGGGUGAAAGUCGUAGAUAUCGGAAGGAAUACCGAUGGCGAAGGCGACUUUCUGGAUGAAUACUGACGCUGAGGCGCGAAAGCGUGGGGAGCAAACAG